This 447-nucleotide ribosomal RNA is filed under the name uncultured bacterium. RNAcentral describes it as "partial 16S ribosomal RNA". It matches the Rfam family "Bacterial small subunit ribosomal RNA", at positions 330 to 793 of the family's 1533-position model. The record is from RNAcentral.
GCCAGACUCCUACGGGAGGCAGCAGUCGGGAAUAUUGCGCAAUGGAGGAAACUCUGACGCAGUGACGCCGCGUGCAGGAAGAAGGUUUUCGGAUUGUAAACUGCUUUAGACAGGGAAGAAAAAAGACAGUACCUGUAGAAUAAGCUCCGGCUAACUACGUGCCAGCAGCCGCGGUAAUACGUAGGGGGCAAGCGUUAUCCGGAAUUACUGGGUGUACAGGGUGAGUAGGCGGCAUGGUAAGCCAGAUGUGAAAGCCUUGGGCUUAACCCGAGGAUUGCAUUUGGAACUAUCAAGCUAGAGUACAGGAGAGGAAAGCGGAAUUCCUAGUGUAGCGGUGAAAUGCGUAGAUAUUAGGAGGAGCACCAGUGGCGAAGGCGGCCUGCUGGACGAUGACUGACGCUGAGGCUCGAAAGCGUGGGGAGCAAACAGGAUUAGAUACCCUGGUAC